RNAcentral lists this ribosomal RNA (1066 nucleotides) under seawater metagenome. RNAcentral's name for it is "eukaryotic LSU rRNA". It matches the Rfam family "Eukaryotic large subunit ribosomal RNA", at positions 2080 to 2999 of the family's 3401-position model. The record is from RNAcentral.
GACUUUGGCACGCCUUAAAAUUGUCAAUUUAGAACUGUUUCGGUCUCGGAGAACCCGACUGUUUAAUUAAAACAAAGCAAAGUGAUGGUCGCAAAUAUUGAUGUUGACACUUUGUGAUUUCUGCCCAGUGCUUUGAAUGUCAAUUUGAAGAAAUUCACCCAAGCGCAGGUCAACGGCGGGAGUAACUAUGACUCUCUUAAGGUAGCCAAAUGCCUCGUCAUUUAAUUGGUGACGCGCAUGAAUGGAUUAACGAGGUUCUCACUGUCCCUACUUACUAUCUAGCGAAGCAGCAGCAAAGGGAACGGACUUUGCAAAGACAGCGGGGAAAGAAGACCCUAUCGAGCUUGACUCUAGGUGUGAUAUUGUGAAAUGAUUUAAAAGGUGUAGAAUAAGGGGGAGAGGCUUGCUUCGAACUUGAAAUACCCCUACUUUUAACAUUGUUUUACUUAAAUAAUGAAUAAAGAAAAAGAUGUGCGUUUGUAUGUUUACAUGCGGCGUCGUCUUUCUUUAAGCAAACACGGCGAGAGUGAUGGUGGCGCAGGUGUGUGAGUGGCAAAGGUGUUGUAAACGAAUUGCAGUUGUUUUUAAUUAAACCUGUAUUCUUUGCGGCAUUCACUCGCACACUCUACGUCGCCACUCGCCAACUUUUGUUAUUGACAUUAUCAGCUGGGGAGUUUGGCUGGGGCGGCACAUCCGUUAAACAAUAACGCGGGUGUUCUAAGACAAGCUCAGAUAGAACAGAAAUCUAUCGUAGACGAUAAAACGAAAAGCUUGUUUGAUUUUGAUUUUCAGUACUAAUACAAACCGUGAAAGCGUGAUUUUGCGAUCCUUUAUAUUUUCGCUAUAAAUGAAUAAAUGUUUCUAUAGAGGUGUCAGAAAAGUUACCAUAGGGAUAACUGGCUUGUGGCCGCAGAGAGCUCAGAUCGACGUGGCUUUUUGAUUCUUCGAUGUCGGCUCUUCCUAUCCAUCCGAAGCAGAAUUCGGAUAGGGUGUGAUUGUUCACCACUGAAAAGGGAACGUGAGCUGGGUUUAGACCGUCGUGAGACAGGUUAGUUUUACCCUACUG